This 437-nucleotide ribosomal RNA is filed under the name uncultured Clostridium sp. Its description in RNAcentral is "partial 16S ribosomal RNA". It matches the Rfam family "Bacterial small subunit ribosomal RNA", at positions 341 to 792 of the family's 1533-position model. Lineage: Bacteria; Bacillati; Bacillota; Clostridia; Eubacteriales; Clostridiaceae. The record is from RNAcentral.
ACGGAAGGCAGCAGUGGGGAAUAUUGCACAAUGGGCGCAAGCCUGAUGCAGCAACGCCGCGUGAGGGAUGACGGUCUUCGGAUUGUAAACCUUUGUCCUUGGUGACGAAAAAAAUGACGGUAGCCGAGGAGGAAGCCACGGCUAACUACGUGCCAGCAGCCGCGGUAAUACGUAGGUGGCAAGCGUUGUCCGGAUUUACUGGGUGUAAAGGGAGCGCAGGCGGGACAGCAAGUUGGAUGUGAAAUACCGAGGCUUAACCACGGAGCUGCAUCCAAAACUGUUGUUCUUGAGUGAAGUAGAGGUAGGCGGAAUUCCGAGUGUAGCGGUGAAAUGCGUAGAUAUUCGGAGGAACACCAGUGGCGAAGGCGGCCUACUGGGCUUUAACUGACGCUGAGGCUCGAAAGUGUGGGGAGCAAACAGGAUUAGAUACCCUGGUA